RNAcentral lists this ribosomal RNA (246 nucleotides) under uncultured bacterium. Its description in RNAcentral is "partial 16S ribosomal RNA". It matches the Rfam family "Bacterial small subunit ribosomal RNA", at positions 116 to 354 of the family's 1533-position model. The record is from RNAcentral.
CGUGGGUAACCUGCCCAAGAGACUGGGAUAACACCUGGAAACAGAUGCUAAUACCGGAUAACAACACUAGACGCAUGUCUAGAGUUUAAAAGAUGGUUCUGCUAUCACUCUUGGAUGGACCUGCGGUGCAUUAGCUAGUUGGUAAGGCAACGGCUUACCAAGGCAAUGAUGCAUAGCCGAGUUGAGAGACUGAUCGGCCACAUUGGGACUGAGACACGGCCCAAACUCCUACGGGAGGCAGCAGGG